CUAGAACCUGAACUUGUAAUGCGCAUGACUCGGACUCUUCCUCGGCUUGCACAUGAGCUUGUAUAAAUGUUUCCUUGCAAUGAGAGGUUGUUAGGUGCGCAGGUGUUCAAAACCAGUUAGUUUGUAGUUCCUGCUCCCUGGAAUGCAGGAAAUUUCUGAGCGCCUGGCUUUUAUCGGAUUAAUAGCAUCAAUUUUACGAAGAUUGCGGUCAUGACAGUGUUGCCCUAGAGCAGGGGUUUUCAAAGUUUACAUUCAAAGGUCCAAAUCUGAAUUCUCAUCAUUUACAUAGGUCCGGAAAAACUUUAUGUAAAUCAUUUGUUUAUAUAACAAAUCAACACUAAUAGUUUGGGAAAAACAUUAGUGUAUUUUGCAUUUAAACUAAAAAUAAUUUUCUAAACAUAAACACAAGAAAUAAUGCUUACUAUGCUUCUCAAUGUCUAAAUUAAUUACGGUGAAAUGACGCUACAUUCAUAAGCCAGGGGGCGCUCGCGGGCAGAAACUUAAUAUGCGCUGCAGACGAAGAACCAGACACACGCAGCUCCAGGAAAUGUCUUAAGGAUAUAUUUAUAUUGCUGUUCUUCAAACCUUGUCAGGUAUUUUCAUGAUAAUAAAAAAUAUGUAUAGUGAUUAUGUUUGACGAGUGUUGUUUUUUCAAAUGCAUGUUUUAAACGACUCAAACCAACAGUGAUUUCAGAUUGAUAUGGACUUACUGAUCAAAAGCCGUAGUACAUGAAGUAGCUGUGCAUAAUAUCUGGGUGUGAUGGCUACAGCGUCACACAGGAAAUUUUUAAAUAACUUGUUUUAUUUUCGGACCAGGAAUACUCUUAAAUCUAAAAAGAUAAAAAACGAAACGAAUGGUUUACAAGUUUAAUAUGCAUUUGUAAAGUAGCAAAUGCACACUUUAGCAAUCACAUAGAAAUUAAUGCACUUGUAAUAUGAAGUGGACGCGGGUCCGGAUCAAGUUCCCGUCGGGUCCGGAUCCGGACCGCAGUCCGGACUUUGAGAACCCCUGCCCUAGAGUAAAUCAGCUUUUUUGUCCACCAAUCAAAUGAGUAAGAAAUGAACAAAUAAAUAAAUGAGUCAACUUUUGCUUCGCCCCUUGAUACCAUUGUGCAUCUGUGAUCCCACAAUGGGUCAAAUUGCCCAGCACUAGUGUUUGACGAUUAUUGUUGUAGUGUUAAGGGUCAUUUGUGUCUGGUUGGUAAGCUUAAGCCUAAAUAAAUAAAGGUUACAUGAUUAAUAAUUACAAGUUUCUGUUAUUGGACCACAGCUUGAUACAGUAUCAUUAAGUCUUAUUUUUAAUAUAAACGGGUUGCACGGCGACGUCACUAACUGGUUGCGCGCGCAACCGAGAGGCAGAUUGAAGAGAAGUGCAUUGUGUUGUAUGCUAGUAGCGGUGUCUGUAAUUCAAAAUGCCAAGGAAUUGUUGCGUGGAAAAUAGUACCAACAGAGUCAGUGCUGGGUGCCUGAUGUUAACAUACCAGUAGAUGCGACUAUUACGUUACUAGCAUUAUAAUUAUAACAUUAUAAUUCAUACAUGUAUCACAGUAACACUGCAAAAAUAAAGACAGAAAAACAGAUCCAACUAAAAUCAAGUCUUAUUUAUAUACAAACAAUAAAGAACGCUUCAAUAGUUAAGGUUGUUGCAGUAGCGGAUCAGCUCACCAAUCGGGCUUUCUGCCUCCUGGAUGCGCGCGCACCCUGCAAUGUUUGUAAACUUGCAACCCCUCUAGGUUAGGUUAUUAAACAGCAUAGCAGUGUAUUAAGAAGACACAUGGCAGAGAGACCGAAUGAUAAUAUGAUAGAAAUAAUCGAAGGCAGAUUUGAGAAAAUUGAAAAAGGUAGUGAAGGCCAAGGGGUGGUGAAGACCCUGCAUGUGUCUGUGUGUAUGCAUUGAGAUUCCUGUCCUGUAUCUGUUAACAGUGGGGUGUGAGCUGAGCACUGCUGCAUAAUUGUGAAACCACAGGGACUGCAGCUCUGACCAACCUGUCAAAACAUCAUGACAAUCAUCCCUUACCACAUCGCAGACAGACAGAGAGAGAGACAGGCAGAGAGUGUCAGCGUUUUGACUGAUAUACCAGCUGAGAAGUUAUAAUUACGAUCACUGUGUGACAUUUGUAAUUUAAGCGAGCACACACACACACACACACACACACAUUGUACAUGGACUGUGGUUCGAAAGCUCGACUGCGGUGGUCUGUAAGGAAGUUUUUUAGCUGCUACGCUGGGUAGCGAUUCCACACCGCUGCGUUUUGAGGCUAAUUAGUUUCGAUAUUAACGGGACAAAACCCCAAGCAGCUUCUAAAUGUCACCCCGUCUCCCCACAGACAUCCACACACACGCCAGUUCACGCUCUUUGCCCCCACCAGAAAAACGCCGCGGGGAGAAACCAAGAAAAAGCCAAGAAGCGGCGACGUCGGGUCACAGCGACGUGCGGAAUAGCAAACCCGUAGACUCGACAUACUGGGAGGACUGGUGUGAACUAAAAGAUCUUUCAAAAGUCUGACGCUGGGGCUUUAAAGAAUGGCACCACGGCUGAAUGUUGAUGUUCUUGGACUUGAACAUGAUACCAUAGAGAUAAAGCUGAGAAAGAGGCGUAAAUGCAGAAAUCCAUGAAACACGGUUUGCAUGUGAAUGCUGUGCUAUAUCGAACAUUAAAAAGAGACUGAGUUUC
Molecule: non-coding RNA, 2674 nt
Organism: Misgurnus anguillicaudatus (oriental weatherfish)
Lineage: Eukaryota; Metazoa; Chordata; Actinopteri; Cypriniformes; Cobitidae
Source: RefSeq, a predicted model, not a curated record